AUGAUUCACACACGAGUUGGCACGCCCAACAAAUGCAUUAGUUUGGCUCUUGCACUAGAGAAUGAUAGAUGGUGUAUACUGACAGAGGGGGAAGAAUUCUGUAGCAUACUGUGCAAGAUCUUUAUUUACACCAAGGAGGAGGUCCAGAAGAUGAAUUCGAAAUCAUCCUGUGCCCAAGAAAGGAGGAAGUUCCAUGGAUGGUGA
This 204-nucleotide ribosomal RNA is filed under the name Triticum aestivum (bread wheat). RNAcentral's name for it is "partial small subunit ribosomal RNA". Lineage: Eukaryota; Viridiplantae; Streptophyta; Magnoliopsida; Poales; Poaceae. The record is from RNAcentral.